RNAcentral lists this ribosomal RNA (672 nucleotides) under uncultured Vibrionaceae bacterium. Its description in RNAcentral is "bacterial SSU rRNA". It matches the Rfam family "Bacterial small subunit ribosomal RNA", at positions 8 to 671 of the family's 1533-position model. Lineage: Bacteria; Pseudomonadati; Pseudomonadota; Gammaproteobacteria; Vibrionales; Vibrionaceae. The record is from RNAcentral.
AGAGUUUGAUCAUGGCUCAGAUUGAACGCUGGCGGCAGGCUUAACACAUGCAAGUCGAGCGGUAACAGGAAUAGCUUGCUAUUUGCUGACGAGCGGCGGACGGGUGAGUAAUGCUUGGGAAUAUGCCUUAUGGUGGGGGACAACAGUUGGAAACGACUGCUAAUACCGCAUAAUGUCUACGGACCAAAGGGGGGGAUCUUAGGACCUCUCGCCAUUUGAUUAGCCCAAGUGAGAUUAGCUAGUUGGUAAGGUAAUGGCUUACCAAGGCGACGAUCUCUAGCUGGUUUGAGAGGAUGAUCAGCCACACUGGGACUGAGACACGGCCCAGACUCCUACGGGAGGCAGCAGUGGGGAAUAUUGCACAAUGGGGGAAACCCUGAUGCAGCCAUGCCGCGUGUGGGAAGAAGGCCUUCGGGUUGUAAAGCACUUUCAGUUGUGAGGAAAGGUGUGUAGUUAAUAGCUGCAUACUGUGACGUUAACAACAGAAGAAGCACCGGCUAACUUCGUGCCAGCAGCCGCGGUAAUACGAGGGGUGCAAGCGUUAAUCGGAAUUACUGGGCGUAAAGCGUUCGUAGGCGGUUGAAUAAGCAAGAUGUGAAAGCCCAGGGCUCAACCUUGGAACUGCGUUUUGAACUGUUCGACUAGAGUACUGUAGAGGGGGGUAGAAUUUCA